UUUUUUUUUUUUUGUCUUUUUGCUUUUUCUUGAGCCGCUCCCGUGGCACAUGGAGGUUCCCAGGCUAGGGGUCUAAUCGGAGCUGUAGCCACCGGCCUACGCCAGACCCACAGCAACUUGGGAUCCGAGCCACGUCUGCGACCCGCACAAGAGCUCACGGCAAUGCCAGAUCCUUAACCCACUGAGCAAGGGCAGGGACUGAACCCGCAAACCUCAUGGUUCCUAGUCGGAUUCGUUAACCACUGCGCCACGAUGGGAACUCCCUCCAUUUCUCCUCUUGAUGGACAGCUAUGCUCUUCCUGGCUCACUGCCAUGCAAACAAUGCUACAGUUAUUUUACACGUAUUUCCUUGGGCAUCUGUGCGUACACGCCUAGGACUGAGACUUCCGGUCACGGGGACACCGGCCUUGACCCUUCCUAGAGACCUGCGCUCCCAUCACAGUAGCAGGUCUUACUGGCUCCGCUGAGGUGCGAGACGCUUCCACUCGACAUCCGCCCCCACUGCCAUCACCACACAUCUCUGCUUCUGCUGAUCUGACGCUUUAAUCUGCAUGCCCUGCAUCGCUAGUGAGGUGGAACAUCCGCUUACGGUCGGUCACUGGCUGGCUGGGCUGCCUCAUCUCUGAAUCGCCACAUUUCUCUGCUGCUCUCUGUUCUGCGCGUUGCAAGUGUCUCUUCCCUGCUUCAAGGAAUCUUCUUAAAUAUGAAGGAGGAAGUCUGAUUGUGCAACAGGUCUUGGGUACACAGUCAAAUACACCAGUCCUUUCCCUUUGGGUUGACUUGAUUUGAUAAAUCCUCUUAACGUCCUAAGUAUCUUCUACACUUUCUACUGUAAGUUGUAAAGAUAUGUUUUGUGGUUGGGUUUUUUCACAUUCAGGUUCUUCAAUUUCCCCAAAUUGAUCUCUGUGUGGGGUAGAGAUCUAACUUUAUUUUUCCUCAUAUGUGGAUGGCCAGUUGUCCUAGCACAAUUCAUCGAGUAAGUGGUCAUUCCCAGCUGACUUACAACAGGUUCUCUGUAAUAUAGCCAGCUGUCACAUAUGCAUGUCCAAAGCCCUUGAUUUUACCCACUGGUCCGUCUGUCCACCCCUCCGCCAACACCACUGGCCAGUCACCGCAGCUUGGUAAUGAAUCUUGACAUCCAGCAGGUGCAUUCCUCACCCUGUCUUUCUGCUUCAGAAUUGUUUGGCCGCACAUACCUUCCUUCAAUUCUGGGAAAUUCUCAGCCUUUAGCCUUUACUUUCUAAAAAAUUAAUUUGUAAAAUUUAUUUUUUGGCUGCAGCAUGCAGCAGCUUGACAUGGGAUCUCUGUUCCCAGACCAGGGACUGAACCCAGGCCACAGCAGUGAAAGCGCCAAGUCCUACCCAACAAACCACCAGGAACUCCCCGUUAAUCUUCUCAAAUCAGAUGCUUUUCCUUGUCUUUUCCUUGCCCAUUCUCUAAGUGCCUUCCUUCUGGAUUUCUGAAUGGACCUUCUCAUUCUUCCCUCUGACUGCUGGUCAUACUCUCGCACUUUCCGUCUCCUUAUCUCCUGCCGGGUUUCGGAUGAUCUUCCCAGAUCGAACCGCCGAGUUCACUAAUUCUGUCUUCCACGGCAUCCAACCUGACGGGUUUUCGUUGGUUUUUUUACUUCAAUGACCACAUUGUUCACUUUCAGAAGGUUUUCUUGUUUUCUUGUUUUUUAAAUCUCCCAACUCCUUUUUCAUACUGACCUUUUCUGUCAUUAUGGCCCUAUUUCUUUUCCAAUCAUUAAAAAUUAAAAAAAAAAUACUUAUCUUUAGCACGAACUUCAGGUUCUUUUAGUAAUUCAGAGUCUCCCGUGUGUUAAGAGUCCCUGACGCCCCCACCCCACGGCAGGUUCUUUACGUGGUUGCCAUCACUCCAUGGUGACACCCCCCUCCCAGUGCCAGCUGUUCACAUGAACCCUGCCGGCUCUGGAUGGUGGAAGCGUGUCUAGAGAAGACUCUGUCUUUGCCCUACCCAGGGCUUUAAGGACGUUAACAGUCUCUGUGUAUUCUCACCUCAGGCUUUGAGUUUUGUUUCCUGCACCACUGAGACACAAAAAGCGUGCAGUCCACACCCAUGUACGGCCUGGCAGUUUAAGUUCUGAUCCCCUUUAAGGCAGAGGCCGACCUUCAAGACACAGCACUUUAGGCAAGGGUCCAAAUUCUAGCUCCCACACCUCCCCUGGCCAAAGUCACAUGUACCCCUGGACGUCAGCAUUCCAGCCGCAGCCCUGGGCCCAUUCCAGGCCCAAACCCAACAGAGGCCAGGACCUGGCAGCAGCCACCAGAGACCCAGGUGCAUUGACCACUGUCCUCUCUAUACCUACGCUUGACCGUAUCUUACUUACGAUACAUACUGCACGUUUUUAUCUGCAGCGGGAGGGGGUUCAUUUAUAUUAGCUUAGUCUACCACAUAGAUCUAAACUGAAUUCUUGUUAAAAUGCUAAUUUUCCUGUGAAAGCCCAUCUCCCCGUCUCCUCAGAGUGUGACUUUCCUUCCUAGAGAAAGGAGUUUUAGUUUUGAUCUUCCAGUCUCUUGAAGGCUCUGAUCCUUCACAGCCUGGAAAUAUCUCAACAACACACUUCAACAAUUUUAAACUGUUUUUCUGGUAUCUGUAUUCCAGAGAAAACGAAAAUAUUUACUGUCAGAAGCUGUAUCUGAAGAUUUUGUCAGCAAGUCCAUUCAAACUCAUCUAUUUGGGGAUUUGCAUUUGGCUCGAAUGGACCCAGCCCAGCUCCUCUAUGGCCAGCUUACUCCUGGAGUAAUCCUGGAGUAAUCCUGCCCUGUGUCUCACCCAGAAAGCUCUCGUUGCGUCUGGGAAUGACAUCCACGAGGACCCAGAACCACACGGCUGUGCGUCGCAGGCGGCGCUGGACGGGGUCGCUGUGCGGAGGCCGGGAGUGACGCCGGCACGGGGGGCUGUGAGCCCAGACCCGCCAGGGGAGCAAGAAGAGGAGGGGGCUGGUGUGGGCGCUGCAGCCCCAGGCUGCCACAACCACGGGGCACGGCAGGCCGGUCCCUGAACCCCCGUGGACCUCACUUCCCUCAUCUGUCCAGUGAACUCCGGGAUCCCUGGCAAACCUACAGGAGCAUGUGCCCAGGGCACUAUCGUGUCGUAGGGGACCAUCGAUGAAGUGCCCGCAGAUCCCUCUGUGACUGUGCUUUCUUCUCUGAGGACGUGAGAAGGAAGGAUGACCAGAGGCCACCGCUGCCGCCACGGGACAUAAAGAGUGAGCCACUGCACGCCACCUUCCUUAAUCUCCGUAGAACACUGCGUCUUCAUCCUUGGCCCUUGGUCCCGGCUGGACGCCUGGGGACAGGGAGCACCCCUGCCAUGACCGCCAGCCCAGGAGAGGGGAGAAUCCUGCUUCCACCAGGUUCUGGGUCCAUUCCUGUUUUCCGCGCAGUAUGUAUAGACGCUAUCGAUGCAGGAAGCAAUUACCAAUAAGACAGGUGCAUGUGAUAUACAGCCAAGUAUUUCAAAGGUCACCCAUUUGGAGAUAAAAAGAAAUACAAGGAACUAACACAUCCAUUUAGAAUCAGGAUCAUCAUACCUGGGCUCCUGCUGCUGCCUCUACAGGGAAAACUGAAUCCAGACGGCAAGAGGCGACCAGACCGCCCCCCGCCCCCUGCCCCGCCCUCUACCUCAACUCCCGCGUCACCUGCCUCCACCUCCCCCACCUGUCAGGCAAUGGAUUUCAAGGUCAAACAGUGAAUAAUACAGACGCUCACGAAGGCCACUCCCUUAGACUCUGCCCUCAACACUAAUGAACAGGCUGUUCUCCAAAACCAACCUGUGGGGCUGAGAGCAAGGAAGCAAAUCCACAACGCCCAAGACAUCGCGCUCCGCGUGGAGGCCUCUCGGUGGCAAUUCACAAGCCUGGGUGACGAAACCCGGAAAUCCCAGCCAAACAGACACAAAGGAAGAGCACUGAUGAGCAACAUAAACGGCCUGACCAUCUUUUUCAACCUGAGGCCCAGGUUUUCAGCUCUGCCCAUGGGAUGCACAGCUGGGACCAGCACUGCCAGCUGCUCCCAAAUGCUGAGCUUGCUGGGCUGAGAACCUCAGCUUCAGGGUGGGCAACACGGACCCGGAGGCCUCUGUCUAAAACAGCAAGCUUCUUAUUUUCAGGAGGCUCUGUCCACUCCUUAGAUGACUAGCCAGGCUGGGUCCAGUCAGAAGAGCUUCAAACAGAGGGUACGGGAUUCAAUUACAUCAAAGAUGGAAGACAAGCCACACGGGGCAGGCGAGGCAGGUGCUCCCCCAGCAGAGCCCCUGGGAACAUGGCGUGACCACAGGGCCAGCGGCGCCCAGCAGCAGCUGGGACCAAAGGGGGCAACUCUGCAGGAGCUGGGACCCUGGAGGGAGGGGCUGAGAGGCUGCCUUGGUGGGGGUCGGGGAGACAUGCCCUGGCUCCCCCGCUGCCCCCAGCAUUCUGGUGUCCGCAGUCAGACUCCAGAGCCCGGAGCAGGUGAGACAAGGGUGGGGGACGCAGCGGAGAGACGACAGAUGAGGGACCAUCACGAUGACCCAAUAAACCCUGAGGGUGGCCCCUUCCCUGAGGAGCUGGGGAGCAUCAGAGGCCAGGUACCACCCAGAAAAGGGGGUGCUGAGGACACAGCACCUGCCUGCUACCCAACAGGCUAAAGCUGCUCUUCCUACUUUUCUGCCAGUAACCCCCCCCACCACCACCACCACCACGGGUCUCUGCCUGGUGCCUGUGGGACUUCUCACCGCCUCGCCAGGCUGCAUCUGAUGGGCAGAAUCUGCAAAACAAGCGUGAUCGCCAUGCUACCCUUGGCUCCCACGGACCCCUGGGCCGAGGGGUCUGAGCUGAGUGAGAAAGGAAGGCGGCUGCAAGGCACAGCCCAGCCUUGGGACCACUGUGGGGGGAGCAGAGUCCCAGGAGAUGGCGAUCAUCGGCCCUGCCCGGGCACCCGCUCGGGACGGUGCCCAGCAGAGGGUGGGCUGCCCCGGGGAGGGCAGUCACCCAAAGUCAUAACACCACGGCCCACCCCAAGAAUGGGGGCGGCUGUGUUCCAACUGCUGAGACACAGGCAGCGGCUCGGGGUCAAGAGGAGCUGCUCCUAAACAAUGACUUGCACUAGGAGUGGAACCCAACAGCGACCACUCCCAGCCGGAAUGGUCAUCCCCACGACAGUGAGCUGGGGGACCACGUGCCGGCCUGGAGUGGGGUUUGAGGAGGUCUAUGGAAAAGCCCCUGCAGAGCCGAGCAGUGACUCAGACUAGAAAUCAGGCAAAGCUCUGCAGCAGCACGUCAACAGGGGCUCGGGCAGCGAGCUGAGACGGCCAGGUGAGCCCAGAGCAGAACCGAUCAGAUCGGCUGCUACGCUGAGUGGGAGACCCAGCAGAGAACUGAGAGGCAAAGGGGGUGCUCAGGGAAAAGCACCAAACAAGCAGAGAAGCACCGUGAGCUCCCUCUCAGGGACAGGUGCAUCGCUGUGAAUGGAGCUGUGUGCUAAUAAAGUCUUCUGAAAUUUGGAAUUGCUGCCCAUUGGUGACUUGCGGUUAAGCACCUCUCCCUGGGAUCUUGCAUUUCUAAAAAUACUAUUUGCUUUUUAUUUAACACUGAGCCUUUUUAUGUUCUAGAAUACAAAAAUAGGGUCUUAUUAUUUUAAAAGCUUCAGAGAGAAACUAGCCAUAUUAUUAGAAAAAGAAGAUAUAUGCAGCUAUAGUCUGUUCAAAUAUCAAGAGGUGUGACUUUUCAAAUUCACAUUUCAAUCUUUAUUUACAUAAGACUUUUAGAAACAGUGGGUGUAAAUAUUAAAUCACCCGAGCCUGGGUGAAAUUUUAUUGAGAAUAACUACAAAUAAAGAGAAACUGAUUUUUUAAAGUCAGUUUCUGAAAUUUAGAUGAAAAGAAUAUCGAGCAUUAACAGAAAAUGAUAUAUUUACAUAUCAAUAUGGGUUUUCUAUGCACAGAUUCACUGCCUAUGACACAGAGAGGCCAGCUUGGGAGUGAGUUACAAAGGGAGGAAAACCCUCAUCAGACAGGUACUGUUGUGCAAACAGAGCAUUAGCUUAAAUGAUCCAAUCGCUGCUUCAGCCAAAUUUUUUUUCUUGCGCCGUUCAUACCAGAACACAGCCUCUCAGAGCGUGAAGAAUCCGUAUUAUACUUCAAGUGUCUGCCCAGCAGACGGGGGAUGUGAAAGGCACAUUCCAGGGAAACGGGCUGGGGACAAGCAGGGUUGCUGGUGAGUCACCAGCGAUGAACCCCCCUACCGGGGUCAGAUUUCUCAGGUACACGCCGUGUACUCAAAAUCCAGGGAUGUCUGGCAGUUGCAUGAGUCAAGUGAAACACAGUCAGUUCAAGGUGCUGGAUCUCUGACCUCACUGCCACUCAGGAUCAUACUACGAAAUGCAACAGAAGCUGCGGGAAUCUUCCCGAGGACAGCGUGUAAGCGGUCGAAAAGCAUAUCUUCACGGGCUGGGGGGUCGGGGGGGCGCGGGGGGGCUGCCAGCGACCUUUGUUUUCAUC
This 6501-nucleotide long non-coding RNA is filed under the name Sus scrofa (pig). Its description in RNAcentral is "lncRNA (ENSSSCG00015059401.1)". The record is from RNAcentral. Lineage: Eukaryota; Metazoa; Chordata; Mammalia; Artiodactyla; Suidae.